AACCCAUCGUGAGGGCACCUCCUUAAUAAAUCCUUGUAUCUCUCCUAUGCAUCAUAUAGUGUUUCUAAAUCCAUCUGCACAAAAAAAGAUAUAUCAUUCCUCAAUUU
This 107-nucleotide small nucleolar RNA is filed under the name Gossypium arboreum. RNAcentral describes it as "Plant small nucleolar RNA R71". It matches the Rfam family "Plant small nucleolar RNA R71". From Rfam's summary of the family: R71 is a member of the C/D box family of snoRNAs containing the C (UGAUGA) and D (CUGA) box motifs. Multiple nearly identical copies of this snoRNA have been identified in Arabidopsis, and it is thought to function as a 2'-O-ribose methylation guide for 18S ribosomal RNA. Lineage: Eukaryota; Viridiplantae; Streptophyta; Magnoliopsida; Malvales; Malvaceae. The record is from Rfam by way of RNAcentral.